Molecule: ribosomal RNA, 254 nt
Filed under: uncultured bacterium
Lineage: Bacteria
Description: partial 16S ribosomal RNA
Rfam family: Bacterial small subunit ribosomal RNA
Source: RNAcentral
UACGUAGGGGGCAAGCGUUGUUCGGAAUGACUGGGCGUAAAGGGUACGUAGGCGGUGUAGUAAGUUAGAAGUGAAAUACCUAGAGCUUAACUCAGGUGCUGCUUCUAAAACUGCUAUACUUGAGUGCAGUAGAGGAAAGUGGAAUUCCUAGUGUAGCGGUGGAAUGCGUAGAUAUUAGGAGGAACAUCAGUGGCGAAGGCGACUUUCUGGACUGUAACUGACGCUGAGGCACGAAAGUGUGGGGAGCAAACAGG